GACAGAGGGUGCAAACGUUGUUCGGAAUUACUGGGCGUAAAGCGCGUGUAGGCGGCCAUCUAAGUCGGGCGUGAAAUCCCACGGCUCAACCGUGGAAGUGCACUCGAAACUGGAUGGCUAGAGUCCUGGAGAGGAAGGUGGAAUGCUUGGUGUAGAGGUGAAAUUCGUAGAUAUCAUUUGGAACGCCAAUGGUGAAAACAGGUAGCUGGGGCUGUGCUGACACUGAGACACGAAAGCCAGGGGAGCAAACGGG
RNAcentral lists this ribosomal RNA (253 nucleotides) under uncultured bacterium. Its description in RNAcentral is "partial 16S ribosomal RNA". It matches the Rfam family "Bacterial small subunit ribosomal RNA", at positions 524 to 776 of the family's 1533-position model. The record is from RNAcentral.